AUGGCGGGGCUCCGGGCGGCCUUGACCCUGUUGGAGUGCGGGGGGGACCUCCAGCCCCCCGGGCGGUCCUUGACGUUGCUGUGCCGCGCCUCUGGGUUCAAUUUCGGGAGUUAUGGAAUGUUCUGGAUGCGCCAGAGACCCGGGCAGACACUGGAAUACAUCGCCAGUAUCAAACGCAAUGGUGGCAGCACCGACGAUGGGCCGUCGGUCAAGGGCCGGGUCACGAUCUCCAGGGACAAUGGGCAGAGCUCGGUUACGCUGACCAUGAACAACCUCAAGGACGACGAUUCCGCCACCUAUUUCUGUGCCAAACGUGCUACUAGUGAUUAUGAUGGUGCUGCUGCUUAUAGUGACGAUGGCCGUGGUGGAUCCAUCCCCGGCUCCGGGCGACCGUAA
Molecule: non-coding RNA, 396 nt
Organism: Melozone crissalis (California towhee)
Lineage: Eukaryota; Metazoa; Chordata; Aves; Passeriformes; Passerellidae
Source: the annotation of a RefSeq genome assembly